RNAcentral lists this non-coding RNA (96 nucleotides) under Priestia flexa. The record is from RNAcentral. Lineage: Bacteria; Bacillati; Bacillota; Bacilli; Caryophanales; Bacillaceae.
GAACGCCGUAUGAAUCGAAAGGUUCACGUACGGUGUGAAGCGGGGGAAAAUGGAACCCAAACAGGUGAGGCUGAGGGGAAUAUUACCUAUCGCUAC